GAGAGAGAGAGAGAGAGACGAGGAAGACGACGAGACAAUGAUGAAAAGAAAAUAGAAGGAUAAACAAAGACAAAAAAAAAUGAAGAGAAGAAAUGAGAAGAAUAGAAGAAGAUAGGGAAAGGAAGAGAGGAGGACACAAAGAAAGAAAAAAAAGGAGAGAAAAUAAACACAAAGAAAGAUGCACAGAAAGGUAACAAGCGAUAGAGAAAAGGAGGUAAAGAGAGAGAGGGAGAGAGACGGGGAGAAUAGAGGAAAGGAGGAAAAAAGAGAAUAAAAAAGAAAAUAUAAACAAAGGAUGGAUAGAAGGAUAGGAUAGAGGAGAGCCAGGGAGAGAGAGAGAGAGAGAGAGAGGAAGGGACAGUGGAGGAAUGGAGGGAAGGAGAGAGAGUGAGAGAGAGAGAGGGAGAGGGAGGGAGAGGAGGCGCGGUGGCAGGAUGGGAUUCCAGUCAGUUGCCUCUCAACUCUGGCCUCGAGCACAUUGGUUAGCUCUUCCUUGCAGUGCCAUCUCUCUCUCACUCUCACGCCCGCACACGCCUCUCCCACGCACUCACACGCCUUCCCUCCACGCCUUGGCCCCUUCCACGCCCCGCCGGACCCUCCACGCGACUCCAGCGGCGUGUAAACUCUGAGAAACAUGAUAAGUGUGGAGUAAACUUGGUGCCCGAAAGGAGAUAUCAAAUAUAUGAUUUUUACAUUACGAUCGUGACACCCAAACGAGAUCUGUGCUUGCGUGUGUGCGUCUGGCGUACGUUUGCGUGUGUUCCGCGGGUGUUGCGUGUGUUGCGUGUGCGUCUAGAGUGCUUCAGUGUCCUUAGACGUGGAGGGGAAACACGCAGACUGAAGGGAAACAGAUUUUUGGGGGAAACGUGAGAAGAGGUGGGGAAAAGAUUGGUUUCAAGAGUGUGACAGAGUUUGAUUUUGUUCCCGUCUUCCUCAUCUUGUAAGUCUCCGGCACGGCGACACCAUGAACGCAGAGCACAACACACUCCCCAUUGGCCCAACACUGUGACGUCACACCUCUGCUUAGCCAAUCAGCGUCCACGCCAUGGCCCGCGGCGGGGAGGGAAGGUGGUGACCCGCCCCUGACCUCGUGUUCGGAGCCCCCGCUAAGGUCAAAGGUCAAAGUCGCCCGCCCACAUCCCCGCCCACUCUCUCGCGUGCCGCCCACCCGCCAUGGCAGCUGAGAAGGGGUGUCGACCCAUGACCAUCACUCAAAUUCGUGAUUCCGACAGGGUCAACAAAGUAUUUGGAGGUUAAGGUGAAAAUGGCGGAAAAGGCGAAGGUAGCAGUAGAAGGCGCCAUGCAAAACAACCAUCAGCCACGUAGACGCAUGGUGUACCAAGGU
Long non-coding RNA from Scylla paramamosain (green mud crab), 1345 nucleotides. RefSeq lists it as uncharacterized. The transcript is spliced from 4 exons. Lineage: Eukaryota; Metazoa; Arthropoda; Malacostraca; Decapoda; Portunidae. The record is from RefSeq and is a predicted model, not a curated record.